RNAcentral lists this ribosomal RNA (413 nucleotides) under uncultured bacterium. RNAcentral describes it as "bacterial SSU rRNA". It matches the Rfam family "Bacterial small subunit ribosomal RNA", at positions 505 to 916 of the family's 1533-position model. The record is from RNAcentral.
GUGCCAGCAGCCGCGGUAAUACGUAGGGUGCGAGCGUUAAUCGGAAUUACUGGGCGUAAAGCGUGCGCAGGCGGUUUUGUAAGACAGGUGUGAAAUCCCCGGGCUUAACCUGGGAACUGCAUUUGUGACUGCAAGGCUAGAGUACGGCAGAGGGGGGUAGAAUUCCACGUGUAGCAGUGAAAUGCGUAGAGAUGUGGAGGAAUACCGAUGGCGAAGGCAGCCCCCUGGGUCGAUACUGACGCUCAUGCACGAAAGCGUGGGGAGCAAACAGGAUUAGAUACCCUGGUAGUCCACGCCCUAAACGAUGUCAACUAGGUGUUGGGGAAGGAGACUUCUUUAGUACCGCAGCUAACGCGUGAAGUUGACCGCCUGGGGAGUACGGCCGCAAGGUUAAAACUCAAAGGAAUAGGCGG